AAAGAAAAAAAAAACUCUAACCCACCACUUCCCACCGGUGGUUGCAUUGCAGUGGUAGAUCCGGCGAGGCGAGAGCAGCAGUAACCCCCACGGCAAGCGCCAUGUCCGACGAAUCGCCGGCGCCGGCGGCGACGGCCGCGGAGGCCGGGAAGACCCAGCAAGACGAGCAGGCCGGAGGAGGGUGGGGAGGCUGGGGCCUCUCCGUGUUCUCCGAGAUCUCCCGCGGCGCGGUGGAGGUCGCCAAGAGCGCCAUCGCCGACAUCCAGCAGCCGCCGGAGCAGGAGGCGGGGCCCGGAGAGGGGGGAGACAAGGGGAAUAACGAGCCGGAGGGGGAGGAGGGGGACGAGCGCCGCAAGGCGGCGCUGGAUAAGCUGGAGGACGCCAGCGAGGACUCGCUCCUGGGCCAGGGGCUCAAGGUGUUUGAUACCUCGGUGGAGAGCAUCACGACCGGAACGUGGCAGGCGCUUGGAAGUGCGUGGAGGAGUGGCUCGCUAAUUGUUCAGAACCUUGCUGAAACCAUUCAACAAGGAGAACUACCUGCCAAAGCAUCUGAAAUAGCACCAACCAUUUUAGAGACAGGGAAGUCAUUUACAGCCAAAGGAAUGGAAAUGCUUGAGCGUGUUGGAAAAGAGACGAUGGAGUUGAUCAUUGAAGAGACUGGUAUGGAAAUUGAAAAGGGUGGUACUGGCGAAGGUGACGAGCAAACAGAAGAGGAACAGUCUGAAGAAGUAUCAUUCGACAGAUGUUUCUACAUUUAUGGAGGACCUGAUCAGUUGGAGGAACUGGAAGCACUGUCAAGCCACUAUGCGCUGCUAUUUAAUAGGAAGAAAACAAAACUUGUUGCUGAGCAGAAAACGUAUUAUGAUGGAAAGAUCAAAGAAAUACAGCAGCUAUUUACUCUUAGUACCAAGAUUGAGGAAGAUGGACCAGACUCUGACAAAGGGAAGAAGAUUGAAGCAGCUGAUACUGAUGGUGAUGCAGAAAUGAAGAAGUUAUGUGACUCGAGUGUGAGCAAGGCUGCUAAAAUGGCUGCGGGGUUCGCAACUGGCUUGGGUGGACUUUCUCCGAGUGAUAUCAUCAAACGAACUACAGAUAGGCUAGAGACCAUUCACUCGGAGGGCGUUCAUAGAUUGUCAGAGAUGUGCUGCCUUGCAGUUUCUCAGCUUCUGGUGCUUGGGAAAUCAGUUAUCUCUGCUGCCAACAAAUCAAACGACGAAGAUGAAAGUGAUGUGAAAAUCGAUUGGCCUGAAGAUCUCAUCUCGAAGGCAGAAAUCAUCAGAUGGAGGGCACAAUCCAUCGCUGUGGAUAUCGAGAAGGUCGCCACAAGUUUUGCUACAGGCAUCUCAGAUGUUGCGGAAGCUUAUGCAGCAGCGAUACAGAAUGCUCUGGCAGACAAGCAGGGCGAUGUCCCGCAUCAGUCGGUGCAGGAGAAAGCCAAGGAUAUAUCCAGCCAUCUGAAAUCCGACCAGACGAGUGCCAUCAGCAAGUUACAAGACGCCCUCCAGUACCUCGCAUACGUCGUUGUCUGCACCUCGAUGCCAAGUGUUUAGUCCUGGAGUGCCUCCUCCCCACUGUUGUUAUUGUUAACCUCUUCCUGUACAUUUUGUGUGCGCGGGUAGGCAGAGUUAGGGCCUCUAGCUAGUUAUGAAAGCUACACUGGUUGGCUUGUGGUGUGUUUGUUCAAGCGUCGUGAAAUCAGUAAUUGGCUGUGUCUCGUUUGUAUUUCUUGGCACAUGGCAGAUUGUUGCUCUCUACUUUUUCCUGAGAACAAUGAGAAUUACUGAUAUAUGCAAUUGAGAUAGAAGUUUACCUAAGCGCCAUCAUUUAGUAGACAUAUAGUAUAUACACAAUAUUAGUUGUUUCUUAU
Molecule: ribosomal RNA, 1867 nt
Filed under: Triticum aestivum (bread wheat)
Lineage: Eukaryota; Viridiplantae; Streptophyta; Magnoliopsida; Poales; Poaceae
Description: partial small subunit ribosomal RNA
Source: RNAcentral